Molecule: ribosomal RNA, 501 nt
Filed under: uncultured bacterium
Lineage: Bacteria
Description: partial 16S ribosomal RNA
Rfam family: Bacterial small subunit ribosomal RNA
Source: RNAcentral
AUUGAACGCUGGCGGCAGGCUUAACACAUGCAAGUCGAGCGGAGCGAGGGUGCUUGCACCUUAGCUUAGCGGCGGACGGGUGAGUAAUGCUUAGGAAUCUGCCUAUUAGUGGGGGACGACAUUCCGAAAGGAAUGCUAAUACCGCAUACGCCCUACGGGGGAAAGCAGGGGAUCUUCGGACCUUGCGCUAAUAGAUGAGCCUAAGUCGGAUUAGCUAGUUGGUGGGGUAAAGGCCUACCAAGGCGACGAUCUGUAGCGGGUCUGAGAGGAUGAUCCGCCAAACUGGGACUGAGACACGGCCCAGACUCCUACGGGAGGCAGCAGUGGGGAAUAUUGGACAAUGGGCGGAAGCCUGAUCCAGCCAUGCCGCGUGUGUGAAGAAGGCCUUUUGGUUGUAAAGCACUUUAAGCGAGGAGGAGGCUACUUAGAUUAAUACUCUGGGAUAGUGGACGUUACUCGCAGAAUAAGCACCGGCUAACUCUGUGCCAGCAGCCGCGGUAA